UAGGGAAUCUUCCACAAUGGGCGCAAGCCUGACGGAGCAACACCGCGUGAGUGAAGAAGGGUUUCGGCUCGUAAAGCUCUGUUGUUAAAGAAGAACACGUAUGAGAGUAACUGUUCAUACGUUGACGGUAUUUAACCAGAAAGUCACGGCUAACUACGUGCUAG
RNAcentral lists this ribosomal RNA (164 nucleotides) under uncultured bacterium. Its description in RNAcentral is "partial 16S rRNA". It matches the Rfam family "Bacterial small subunit ribosomal RNA", at positions 355 to 511 of the family's 1533-position model. The record is from RNAcentral.